GAUGAACGCUAGCUACAGGCUUAACACAUGCAAGUCGCAGGGUAACAUGAGGAAAGCUUGCUUUCCUUGAUGACGACUGGCGCACGGGUGAGUAACGCGUAUCCAACCUUCCCAUAACUACGGGAUAACCCGUUGAAAGACGGCCUAAUACCGUAUGAUAUCGUUUGCUGACAUCAAAUAACGAUUAAAGGUUUAGCGGUUAUGGAUGGGGAUGCGUCUGAUUAGCUUGUUGGCGGGGUAACGGCCCACCAAGGCGACGAUCAGUAGGGGUUCUGAGAGGAAGGUCCCCCACAGUGGAACUGAGACACGGUCCAAACUCCUACGGGAGGCAGCAGUGAGGAAUAUUGGUCAAUGGGCGAGAGCCUGAACCAGCCAAGUAGCGUGCAGGACGACGGCCCUAUGGGUUGUAAACUGCUUUUAUGUGGGGAUAAAGUGCGUGACGUGUCAUGCAUUGCAGGUACCACAUGAAUAAGGACCGGCUAAUUCCGUG
Molecule: ribosomal RNA, 490 nt
Filed under: uncultured bacterium
Lineage: Bacteria
Description: partial 16S ribosomal RNA
Rfam family: Bacterial small subunit ribosomal RNA
Source: RNAcentral